UAUUUUGACAUCAAUUCAAUUCAGCUCCUCCACUGUUAGAGAAUCAAUUUUCACUCCAAUUCUAUGUGAUUGUAUCCGGUGAUCGUAGGAGAGAGACGCCUCCAAAACACUGUCCGCACCGGCUGUUGAAUCUCCCUCCGAUAUCAUGUUUCAUUCACACCGUCUCAGAGCUCUUGUCUACCUCAACCAUCUCUCUUCAUCUCCAAAAUCUCACUACCUUCUUCACUCUCUCACUCCCUUCUCCACCACUUCAGAUUCCGACCAAAAAUCUUUCACCAUAUCCUACCUCACCAACAACUGCGGCUUAUCCCCACAAGACGCUCUCAAAGCAUCCAAACGACUCCGUUUAACUUUCACCACCCCCGAAAAACCCAACUCCGUCAUCGCCUUCUUCAAAGCCCACGGUUUCUCCAACCACCACAUCCAGUCCAUCAUCCUCAAGAACCCCGAGCUCAUCCUCUCCAACCCCACCAAAACCAUUCUCCCAAAGUUUCAAUUUUUAGCCUCCAAAGGCGCUUCCCCCUCCGACAUAGUCGCCGCCGUCACCAGAAGCUCUCGUUUCCUCCGUGUAAGCCUCGAGAAACACAUUAUCCCCGCUUUUGAAUUGGUACGAGGUUUCUGUCCCUCUGAUAAAAAAGCUAUUACUUCAAUCAUCAUUUGUCCGGCUUCAAUCAGUGAUAUUCGCAUGAAACCUAAUGUUCAGUUUUUACUCAAUUUUGGGGUUAAUCAUUCUAGUAUUUACCAUUUGCUUAGUACUAGACCUUCUGUGAUUUGUUCUACUGAUUUGAGGGAGGUUGCGGAGGAGAUUAAGGGAUUAGGGUUUCAUCCUUCAAAAUACAAUUUUUGUGUGGCAUUAUUAGCCAAAAGGGGUAUUACUAAAUCCCAAUGGGAUGCCAAAGUUGAUGUCUUGAAGAAAUGGGGUUGGUCCCAAGAUGAGAUUUUGCAUGCAUUUAAAAAGAACCCUAAGAUUAUGCUACGGUCUGCGGAGAAACUCAACGCGGUCAUGAGUUUUUGGAUCAAGCAGCUUGGUUGGGAUCCUGCAGUGCUCUUGGCAGCGCCGGAUCUAUUUGGAUUUAGUCUAGAGAAAAGGCUUAUUCCGAGGGCUUCUGUUGUCCGGUAUCUGUUAUCUAAAGGUUUGGUGAAGAAGAGUGCUAGUUUGUAUACGCCGUUUAAUUUCUCGGACGAGUUGUUCAUGAAAAAGUAUGUGAAUUGUUAUGAGGAAGAAGCUUCUAAGCUAUUAAGGCUAUAUCAGGGGAAGGAUGCUAGUUUAUAGUGUUUGGAUAAGUUGUGAGUUCAUAUUAUGUGUGUUCUUCUCACAUUGCUGCAUUGGGAUGAACAAAUGUCGAAAUACUUUGAGCAGCUCGCUCUAGCUUGGAUGACCAUUUGGCACACUUGUGUGGGUUGAAUUCGACAUAACAUCAAUGGGUUCUUGAUGAUUAUAAUGAGAGCAGGACAAUGAACUUGUGAUAGCUGACUUCAUAAGACUUGGUGGUUGUUGUUGUCGGGCAAUAAACUUGUGAGCUUAUUGUUGCGUACUCUUUGCGACAUAUCAGUUUCUGUUCAUAUGCUGUUAGAAUUGGAUAUUUUUCUACUUGUGAUGUAGUAAUUGUCUUUGAUUUGAAUGGAUAUGUUGGUAACUAGUACGCCAUAUAUGAUUCAUUGUUAGACUAUUAUUUGUCUUUUAAA
This is an RNA transcript of Vicia villosa (hairy vetch), 1686 nucleotides long. It is a transcript of the gene named transcription termination factor MTERF6, chloroplastic/mitochondrial-like, with no coding region annotated. NCBI's taxonomy places the organism in Eukaryota, Viridiplantae, Streptophyta, Magnoliopsida, Fabales, Fabaceae. The transcript has 3 exons. The record is from RefSeq and is a predicted model, not a curated record.